RNAcentral lists this long non-coding RNA (613 nucleotides) under Homo sapiens (human). RNAcentral's name for it is "testis expressed 41". The record is from RNAcentral. Lineage: Eukaryota; Metazoa; Chordata; Mammalia; Primates; Hominidae.
ACAGCAGACCUAUGAAGGUCGAAGGGGAAGAAAAGCUGUAUCGAUUGUUGAGAUCUGGCGACUUGUUUAAAUUUCAUCAGCCUCACUUCUAUGAACUCUCAGGCCUCACGUGUACCAGCUCUCUGCUCUCCUUUGCCUUGGGACGUUCCAUCCCUGGAAGUUUCCCUGCCCACAUCUUUGUAGAGAGUCCAUUCUCCAAGCUUCAGUGUGUCAUCUGUGAGGACCGUGACCCACCUGGUACAUCGCCUCAGGGCAUUCAUUUCAGGCUCCUUCUAAAUGGCCAAGUUUUCAAGAUUGUUUUGGCUCUAGCAAAACAAGUUGGAACAUUCACAUCAUCCAUCUUCUGCCAGCCUAACAAGCAUAGCAAGAAGAUAUAGCCCCACAACCACUUUAUGCACAAAGUUAGAAGCAUAAAAUCUCAUGGAAGGAGACCGAUUAUCUACAGAAGAGGUUGUCUUGCCAUUUCUCUCAUGUUAGAGGUAAACCUCAGGUUCUCCUCCUGCCUUUUGCUAAGUAUAUGUCUUGAUGACAAGCCUUCUGCUGAUGAGCUGUGUUUCUGGACCGAUCAUGGUAGAAGUCAAUUAACGUGUCCCUCACUUGGGGUUUCUCAAGG